UCAAGCUACUAAGGGCAUACGGCGGAUGCCUAGGCGCCAUCAGCCGAUGAAGGACGCGGUAAGCUGCGAAAAGCUACGGGGAACUGCAAGCAAGUAUUGAUCCGUAGAUGUCCGAAUGGGGAAACCCAACUACCGUCAUGGGUAGUUAUCCGAAAGGAAGGGAACCCGGGGAACUGAAACAUCUAAGUACCCGGAGGAAGAGAAAUCAAACGAGAUGCCCACAGUAGCGGCGAGCGAAGAGGGCAGAGGGCAAACCGGUGAGCUACGGCUCGCCGGGGUUGAGGACUGCAUUUAGUCUCAAUGGUUUAUCCGAACUACCUGGAAAGGUAGGCAAAACAGUGUAAAAGCCACGUAGGUUAAAGGCCUAAGAGAUGAGCAGUAUCCAGAGUACCACGAGGCACGAGGAAUCUUGUGGGAAGCCGGGGGGACCACCCUCCAACCCUAAACACUGAAUGGCGACCGAUAGCGCAUAGUACCGUGAGGGAAAGGUGAAAAGAACCCCGGGAGGGGAGUGAAAGAGAACCUGAAACCGUAUGUCUACAAGCAGUCGGAGCGAAAGCGACGGCGUGCCUAUUGAAGAAUGAACCAACGAGUUACGUGCACUAGCGAGGUUAAGUGGAAGACACGGAGCCGAAGCGAAAGCGAGUCUUAAGAGGGCGGAUAGUUAGUGUACGUAGACCCGAAACCGCAGUGAUCUACCCAUGUCCAGGUUGAAGCGCAGGUAAAAUUGCGUGGAGGACCGAACCUGUGAGCGUUGAAAAGCUUUAGGAUGAGAUGUGGGUAGAGGUGAAAUUCCAAUCGAACGCGGAGAUAGCUGGUUCUCCCCGAAAUAGCUUUAGGGCUAGCCUCAAGUAGUAAGUAUAGGCGGUAGAGCACUGAUCGGGCUAGGGGCCAUAAAGGUUACCGAACCCUGUCAAACUCCGAAUGGUUAUACUGUAGAGCUUGGGAGUCAGACUACGAGUGAUAAGAUCCGUGGUCAAAAGGGAAACAGCCCAGACCACCAGCUAAGGUCCCCAAUGUCGUACUAAGUGGAAAAGGAUGUGGGGUCUCUAAAACAACCAGGAUGUUGGCUUAGAAGCAGCCACCAUUUAAAGAGUGCGUAAUAGCUCACUGGUCGAGAGACCCUGCGCCGAAGAUUACCGGGGCUAAAGUACGAAACCGAAGCUGUGGCUACGACAUAUGUCGUGGGGUAGGGGAGCGUUCUGUGAGGGCUGAAGUCGUUCUGUAAGGAACGGUGGACUUCACAGAAGUGAGAAUGUUGGUAUGAGUAGCGAAAAGAAUGGUGAGAAUCCAUUCCACCGAAAGCAUAAGGAUUCCUGGGCAACGAUCGUCGUCCCAGGGUAAGUCGGGACCUAAUCCGAGGCAGAGAGCGUAGGAGAUGGACAACUGGCAGAUAUUCCAGUACCGGUAAUGAUUGUUUGAGCGAUGGAGUGACACAGGAGGGCAGGCAGGCAGGAGAUUGGUUGUUCCUGUACAAGCGUGUAGGAUGGGUUGCAGGCAAAUCCGCAACCUGUGAGUCUGAGGCGUGAUGUGGAGGUUCCGGAAACGGAACUGAAGCUGCUGACCCCACACUGUCGAGAAAAGCUUCUAGUUAGAGAAUUACCGCCCGUACCGUAAACCGACACAGGUAUGCGGGGAGAGAAUCCUAAGGUGCGCGGGAGAACCCUCGUUAAGGAACUCGGCAAAAUGUACCCGUAACUUCGGGAUAAGGGUAGCCAGCGUUGUGAAGUCUGAACAGAUGGAGCAUAAGCUGGUCGCAGAGAAGAGGCCCAAGCGACUGUUUACCACAAACACAGGUGCCUGCUAAAGAGAAAUCUGACGUAUAGGUGCUGACACCUGCCCAGUGCCGGAAGGUUAAGGAAGGAUGUCCGGAGCAAUCCAAAGCAUUCGACCGAAGCCCCGGUGAACGGCGGCCGUAACUAUAACGGUCCUAAGGUAGCGAAAUUCCUUGUCGGGUAAGUUCCGACCCGCACGAAAGGUGUAACGAUUUGGGCACUGUCUCAACGAGGGACCCGGUGAAAUUGAAGUACCUGUGAAGAUGCAGGUUACCCGCGACUGGACAGAAAGACCCCAUGGAGCUUUACUGUAACCUGACAUUGUGUUCUGAUACAUCACGUACAGGAUAGGUGGGAGACUUGGAAGCUGUGACGCUAGUCACAGUGGAGUCAACGUUGGGAUACCACCCUUGAUGUAUCGGAAUUCUAACCGUAGGAGUAACGAAACUCGGGACAGUGUCAGGCGGGCAGUUUGACUGGGGCGGUCGCCUCCCAAAGAGUAACGGAGGCGCCCAAAGGU
This 2295-nucleotide ribosomal RNA is filed under the name human gut metagenome. RNAcentral's name for it is "bacterial LSU rRNA". It matches the Rfam family "Bacterial large subunit ribosomal RNA", at positions 3 to 2317 of the family's 2925-position model. The record is from RNAcentral.